This 497-nucleotide ribosomal RNA is filed under the name uncultured bacterium. Its description in RNAcentral is "partial 16S ribosomal RNA". It matches the Rfam family "Bacterial small subunit ribosomal RNA", at positions 28 to 507 of the family's 1533-position model. The record is from RNAcentral.
GAUGAACGCUGGCGGCGUGCCUAAUACAUGCAAGUCGAGCGAACGGACGAGAAGCUUGCUUCUCUGAUGUUAGCGGCGGACGGGUGAGUAACACGUGGAUAACCUACCUAUAAGACUGGGAUAACUUCGGGAAACCGGAGCUAAUACCGGAUAAUAUUUUGAACCGCAUGGUUCAAAAGUGAAAGACGGUCUUUCUGUCACUUAUAGAUGGAUCCGCGCUGCAUUAGCUAGUUGGUAAGGUAACGGCUUACCAAGGCAACGAUGCAUAGCCGACCUGAGAGGGUGAUCGCCCACACUGGAACUGAGAAACGGUCGAGACACCUACGGGAGGCAGCAGUAGGGAAUCUUCCGCAAUGGGGGAAAGCCUGACGGAGCAACGCGGCGUGAGUGAUGAAGGUCUUCGGAUGGUAAAGCUCUGUUAUUAGUGAAGAACAUAUGUGUAAGUAACUGUGCACAUCUUGACGGUACCUAAUGAGAAAGCCACGGCUAACUACGUG